This 812-nucleotide ribosomal RNA is filed under the name uncultured archaeon. RNAcentral's name for it is "bacterial SSU rRNA". It matches the Rfam family "Archaeal small subunit ribosomal RNA", at positions 85 to 879 of the family's 1478-position model. The record is from RNAcentral.
ACUGCUCAGUAACACGUGGCUAACCUGCCCUUGGGAUAGGAACAACCCCGGGAAACUGGGGCUAAUUCCCAAUAGGCGAAGAACUCUGGAAUGAGUCUCCACCAGAAAGGGCAUCUGCGCUAUGCUCGCAGGUGUCGCCCAAGGAUGGGGCCGCGACCGAUCAGGUUGUUGGUGAGGUAAUGGCUCACCAAGCCUUUUACCGGUGCGGGCCGUGGGAGCGGGAGCCCGGAGAUGGGCACUGAGACAAGGGCCCAGGCCCUACGGGGCGCAGCAGUCGCGAAAACUUUGCAAUAAGCGAAAGCUUGACAGGGCUAUCCCGAGUGCCAUCCGCUGAGGAAGGCUUUUACCCAGUCUAGAACGCUGGGGGAAUAAGGAGAGGGCAAGUCUGGUGUCAGCCGCCGCGGUAAUACCAGCUCUCCGAGUGGUGUGGAUGUUUAUUGGGCCUAAAGCAUCCGUAGCUGGCUAGGUUAGUCCCCUGUUAAAUCCACCGAAUUAAUCGUUGGAUUGCGGGGGAUACUGCUUGGCUAGGGGACGAGAGAGGCAGACGGUAUUUCCGGGGUAGGGGUGAAAUCCUAUAAUCCUGGGAGGACCACCAGUGGCGAAGGCUGUCUGCUAGAACGCGCCCGACGGUGAGGGAUGAAAGCUGGGGGAGCGAACCGGAUUAGAUACCCGGGUAGUCCCAGCUGUAAACGAUGCAGACUAGGUGUUUGGACGGCCACGUGCCGUUCUAGUGCCGCAGGGAAGCUGUUAAGUCUGCCGCCUGGGGAGCACGAUCGCAAGAUUGAAACUUAAAGGAAUUGGCGGGGGAGCAC